Molecule: ribosomal RNA, 497 nt
Filed under: uncultured bacterium
Lineage: Bacteria
Description: partial 16S ribosomal RNA
Rfam family: Bacterial small subunit ribosomal RNA
Source: RNAcentral
GAUGAACGCUGGCGGCGUGCCUAAUACAUGCAAGUCGAGCGAACAGACGAGGAGCUUGCUCCUCUGACGUUAGCGGCGGACGGGUGAGUAACACGUGGAUAACCUACUUAUAAGACUGGGAUAACUUCGGGAAACCGGAGCUAAUACCGGAUAAUAUAUUGAACCGCAUGGUUCAAUAGUGAAAGACGGUUUUGCUGUCACUUAUAGAUGGAUCCGCGCCGCAUUAGCUAGUUGGUAAGGUAACGGCUUACCAAGGCAACGAUGCGUAGCCGACCUGAGAGGGUGAUCGGCCACACUGGAACUGAGACACGGUCCAGACUCCUACGGGAGGCAGCAGUAGGGAAUCUUCCGCAAUGGGCGAAAGCUUGACGGAGCAACGCCGCGUGAGUGAUGAAGGUCUUCGGAUCGUAAAACUCUGUUAUUAGGGAAGAACAAAUGUGUAAGUAACUAUGCACGUCUUGACGGUACCUAAUCAGAAAGCCACGGCUAGCUACGUG